This is a long non-coding RNA of Brassica napus (rape), 2458 nucleotides long. RefSeq lists it as uncharacterized. The record is from RefSeq and is a predicted model, not a curated record. The transcript is spliced from 3 exons. NCBI's taxonomy places the organism in Eukaryota, Viridiplantae, Streptophyta, Magnoliopsida, Brassicales, Brassicaceae.
AUAAACAUCUACCCUAUACUAAAAGCAGGAUAUGGAGUGUUUUUAACAUGUCCACGUCGACAGAUUUAAUUGUCCAAUCAAAAUAUUUGAAUAAUACACGUAGGAUGUGCUCUGUAAAAUGUUGAUUUCAUAUGGGCUAUGAUCUGUUCGGAUGGGCUUCAUCUAGCAAUGGGCUAAGCUAUCUGGUUCAAUUAAAAAAAAAAAUCCCAAUACGGACAACACGAUGAACAACGCUACUCUCCUCUAUCUCUUCGUCUUCACGAGUUCUUCUCUAUCGUUUCACUUCUCUCUGUUUUCAUCUCCACAAUCAAUACUCCAUUACUUCUCGAUCCAUCAAUCUCUUCUUUAUGAUUUCGAUUCCGUUUACUCUUUCCCUGCUACCUUAUAUACUGAUUUACUCUCCAGAUUGCAAACCAAACCCUAAAAUUCUCUAACCUCAAUUCGCGAUGAAACCACAUGGAAAAUCCCCUAUCACCUCCGAUUAUGAUGAAAAGGUGAUGUUCUUCCGCGAUGUCUCACCGGGUCCUCAUGAAACCCAGCUGCGUUUCCGCUUGAUUCAUCUCUGGGAGGCUUGGAACCCUGUCAAGAAAAUGCUUAUUGGCCUUGAGAUGCUUCUAAUCGACGAACAGGUACUUGAUUUCACUAAACCUAUUUAUUUAGAUUCGUUGUUAUUUAGAUCGUUAUUUAGAUCUCGCUUAUAUUUAGUAAAAUAGGAAGAAAACUGAUCGUUGAUAUGUGAAAUCUCCAAUUUUGUUUAUGUAUCUACUAAAUUAAAAAUGUUUAUUAUAUCUAUAUGGAUAUUCACUGAAAAUAUGUGAUGUUGCGAUGAGUAGUUUGAUUGAUGAAAUCAGCUUGGUCUGAUCUGUAAAUACAAAUUAUUUGGUCGUCUGUCAAUUAUUACAAAUCUCUUAACAAAACAAAGUUCCAAUUUGUUGUGGGGUUGGAUGAUUAAGAAAAAGUAGUCGCUGGUGAUUCACUUAAGGUGUUAGUCCUGUAUUAAAAAGCUGUAACUUUUGUGUGCUGAUGUAAUCUUUUAGUUGCAGGUUGUUAAUUUUAGAACAGAAUUGUAAAAAACUCUUUUAUUUGGUUUCUGUAUAGUGAUGGAAAAUAUUUGAUGCCAGUUACUUUGUGUCUCAGUAAGCAAGCUACUAGAUAGUUUCUAUCAUAGUUUGCUGCAAGAUGACCAUAAUUACGGCCAGGGCCAGCGAAGCACAAGAACAUAUUAGAGCUAGAGUUCUUUGAAAAGCUAUUUGUUCAUUACCUUACAAAAAUUCCUGAUUGGUGGCUGCGGUUUACUAUCUUCUAUGUUUCUGUUUACAGUUAAUCACAUGUAAGACACAAAGUAAAGGUCCGCAGAAAAAUACGAUAUCCUGAACUUCAGAAAUAGUACGAAAAGGUUCACAACUACUCAUCAGAAAUCCAGGUUAGACCGCAUCUCCUUCUCUGUUUGCAAUGUAACCUCUCAUAUUAUAUUUUUGGUUUUGAUUUCAUGUCAAAUAUACAUUUCUGAGUUUUGAAGGAAAUUGGUAAAUAUGAUUAGGAGAGUAAAGUAUUUCGAGAUCCAACCAGAGAGCCACGGACCGUUUUCUAUGGUGUGGCUCUGCCGAUGGAAAUCUUGUGGUCAUUUUCCCAUGUGUAAGCUUUCAUGUAUUUGGUGAAAAUAUGCGCUUUGGUGGACUCUUUUGCUGCAAAACGGUGGGGUUUUUAAGAUUGCUUGGAACAUGUCAAGAAACCUUUUGUUAUUGACUACUAGAUUUUAUGAGGGUUUAAAAUUCUAAUCUUUUCCUGCAGAGUGCUAUCUUUAUAUUAAUAUUAAGAUGCCAAAAGAACUGAUUUUCCCUGUCUUAUAUAGGCUAAUGGAGACGGUAACGGAACAAUGCACAUCAACAUACUCGAUAGUUAAAGUGAAAGAAUAAAUAAGAACGAGGACAUGCUAGGCGGAUCAAAAGCACCACCAAUGGCCAAGCAAAACGCUACGUCUGGUACUCUUGCAAGUAGGGAGUUCUAUAAAGAAUCUUCUCAGCCUUCCAACGUUUUGAAAAAGACAACAGUGGAUAUAUCACAAUGGAAGCGCUGGAGCAGUCCCUGAGGGACACUAAUGGUGGAAGAGACCUUAAUGAAAUUAUUUCUGAAGUUGAUGGAGAAAAAUAGUUUCAAAGAAGGGGAGCUUCGCCACUUCUUCCUCUUUGUGUCACAUCUAUAGAAACGUCUGUUUCGUUCCAUUUCAGGCUCCUCUGCGGCUUCUCGGUGGCAUUUCCAACUUCAUACAUUUUACACAUGGGAUGCUAACAAGUAACAACUUGCUAUCGUAAAUAAGGAUGAUAAAAGACAUAAACAUGGAGAAAAUACACUUUGUAUUAUGAGAGAACUGCAUCAGUUUAAAAUAUUGUAAUUGUCGAGUGGGAGAACGGAGUACUGAAUUAAUUUACACACUGUAUUAGCAGCCCUUGACCACUAA